UAGACCGGAUGAAAAAUGGCAAAAAAUAUCGUUUGUUCAGAGUCAAGAAUGACACAGCUGUUUAGUUCACCGAUUUCGACACAAUAAUCAGUCAUAAUUAUGUUCAUCACUGAAUGUACUUGUAUUAGAUAAAUUAAACCCGAUUAUAUCUGAAUAGUAAUGGGGUACCUACGUAUCCUUGUGGAUUCCCACUUCUCCAUCUUUUUAGGUCUUCUCGUAAACUCUUAAAUGUCCAAACAAACAAUAAUACGACAACUCGAAUAGACAGAAAAAGGGGUAGAAGAGGCAUAACACACAAUAUACCAUCAACGUCGGAUUUAAAAUAAGAAAGCUAAAGACAUUUUAAGGUUUCGCCCAAUUUUACAUUACAGUUAUAUGCAGAUGAAUUGUCAGAAAACUACCCUUCUUUGUAACCAAAUACUUUUUCUUCAUUUCAGAUAUACAGGAGCUGCAAUUCGCUUUUCUUUGUAAUGCAAAUAAGUUGCUAGAGCAGGAGUGUGAGUGGUAGUGAGAGUGACUCUAGGAUGGUUGAGCGGAUUUGAAUGAGUGUGUACAAGUGAAUGGGUUGUAUGUGAGGGGUUUCUCAGUUUGUCUCACUGCUAAUUGAGGAAGCCAUUUAGGUGGUCAUAGAGGAAAGACUUCUAGCAUGUCCAUUCCUUAUCAGCCAUGUUACUGAAUUUAUUUUGAAGCCAAGCACUACCAAAGCUGAAUUGUGGCUCCUCCCUUUGGGGACUAGGACAGAG
Lytechinus variegatus (green sea urchin) is the source of this 743-nucleotide long non-coding RNA. RefSeq lists it as uncharacterized. NCBI's taxonomy places the organism in Eukaryota, Metazoa, Echinodermata, Echinoidea, Temnopleuroida, Toxopneustidae. The transcript is spliced from 2 exons. The record is from RefSeq and is a predicted model, not a curated record.